Long non-coding RNA from Drosophila novamexicana, 2178 nucleotides. RefSeq lists it as uncharacterized. The transcript is spliced from 3 exons. The record is from RefSeq and is a predicted model, not a curated record. NCBI's taxonomy places the organism in Eukaryota, Metazoa, Arthropoda, Insecta, Diptera, Drosophilidae.
UCUAUGCGUGUUUGUGCUAGAGUCCGCAUGCCUUUUGUUUUCCCUUGUUUUGGUUCAUUGACUGCGCGGUUUCGAAUUUCUGUGAAAUAUUCACCCCCGUCCUCCGUCAACUGUCCCCCGGCAACUCCCUCGGCUGAACCAACUAUCGAGUCUUUGAUGCAUCUCCAUUUCAAGUUUAUCGAUUUGCCCGCCUGCGAGAGCGAAAGAGUUCAGCAAGUGCAUUGAAAAUCCAACGGAGAAACCCGAUAUCUUCCAUUUGGAGUCGGAUCCCUUGCGGAGUAAAUGCAUCAUCCAUUAAACUAAAUGAAGAUUAUCGAUUGUUAUAGAAGCUAUAUAAUAAGUCCAUAUCCAUAUGCAAUCCAUAUCCAUAUUUAACACUAAGGAAACUUGGAUUCUGUGAAAAGUGUUCAAAGGAAUUGUCCGCCCAAGAUCUGCAAUAGAAACACUACCCUAUACAUAUUUACUUUAUAUAAUCACCUAUCGUCAUGCAUUAUAAUACCCUCCAUGAGUCAAACCAACCCAUUAAACAAGCGGCUUGAGCUUUAGCGUCGGCUCCGACUCCACGAAAGUGCGAAAAUUAUUUGUGAUGAAUAAUACAACUUCAUCAGCGGGCUUCGGUCUGAGGUUUCCCCCGAAACGUUGGCUGAACUGCCCCCAAAAGCAUUUGCUGUGCCAGCCUCCAGUUUCCUUCAAGCGUGCAUAAGUGAAAUGUGCUCAAGAUACAGAUACCGAAACAGAUACAGAUACAAAUUCAGAUACAGAUACAGAUACAGAUACAUUGAAGUCAGCAACAACCGGCAAACGGCAACCGGCAAGCGGCAACAACGAGCAGCACCCAAAAGGUAAUUAAUCAUCGUCAUGGGGCGUGUGCACGAUUCGCUUAACGUGCGCCGCUGGCGGUGGCUUCAGCGUGGAGCUGGCCGAGGAGCAGGCGGAGGAGGAGGAGACGCAGGCGGAGUUGGGUGCGGUGCGGGGGGCGCUUGCGAGCAACUGCCGCUGCUUGCAGACAUUUGUGGCAUAUUACCCAAGGCGUACAAAUGUAUAUAUAUUUCCAUAUUUCCAUAUGGUCGCCGCCGACGCCCGACACCCGAGCGACAUGUCGCUGCUUGUCUUGGCGGGCACGGGGGGCUGGGGCGUGGCAAUAGUCAUAACGAGCCAAAUUAAUGCGUUUCUUUCUACAUGGAGCAGAAUUCCCGUGCAGCUAGUGACACAUUUGCUGAUUUAGCAGGAGACGCAGCACAGGCAGGCGACCCGAACGGGACUCAUAGGUGUGUAAUACCCUGUAAUUGUGCUGUCAAAGCAUAUUUGCAUAACACAUUGGGGCUAAGCUCUUCAUUCUGGCGGAGAUUUUCAACCGUUGACUAUUUAUGUAGCAAGAGUUUCAUGCCGUUUGCAGCACAGGGUAUGCCCAAGUCGAGCACUUGACGCUGUUGCAUGUCCAUUAUGUUUUAUUAUCUGUGCGCCAAAAUGUUUCAAAUACUUUUGUCUCGCCCACCGACAUUUGUUUCUGGCCAAGCAAAUUCAAUUUUAAUUGAUUGUGCGGCUGAUUUUAACGAUUGCGCGUGCCAUUUGAGUUGGCCAACGGGGCGUGGCAUUUAGUGGUGGGAGCUUAACGUGUGUUAUGCAUGAGUAUUGCCGGCUAAUUGGAUGCUCAGCUAAUUAGUUGUCGAGCUGGUUGGUCUGGGCCAAGCCAAGGUAGCAGGCCCCUCAUAUUUUUAAAUAUAUAAAACCUUAUGCUAAUCUAAUCGGAUACCAAUUGAACAGUCGCUGUUAAAAGUAACGCCAAGCGUAGAGGUGGCUGUGACAGCGACAGCUGCAGCAGCGUCGACGGCGUCAAUUCUCACCCGCGCAAAAACUGACAAACGCCGACAAUAAAAACACGUGCUUAUCAGGCAAACACACUUACACGCACACACACACACACACACAGCCACCAAACAGACAACAACAGAGAGUUUGUUUGAAAUAAACAAAAAUCAGCUGUUCGCAGUGCUCGCUCUCUCUCACGCUCUCUUGCUUCCAAUUCCAGUGAGCGAAGAAGCUGAGAAACGAGUUUUGUUGUCUGCCGGCAUGUGAAGAGAGUUGCUAUAAAAAGAGGGCAGAAUUUAUAGCAAGUUCAAAUAUUCACUCUGGCGGGUAUUAUUGGCUAUUCAUAAAAUUCCAGAAAAUGUAAAUAAA